GUUUAGUGGCGGACGGGUGAGUAACACGUGAGCAACCUGCCUUUAAGAGGGGGAUAACAUUGAGAAAUCAGUGCUAAUACCGCAUAAAGCAUAUCUACCGCAUGAUAAGAUAUGCCAAAGGAGUAAUCCGCUUAAAGAUGGGCUCGCGGCUGAUUAGUUAGUUGGUGGGGUAACGGCCUACCAAGACGAUGAUCAGUAGCCGAGCUGAGAGGCACAACGGCCACAUUGGGACUGAGACACGGCCCAGACUCCUACGGGAGGCAGCAGUCGGGAAUAUUGCACAAUGGAGGAAACUCUGAUGCAGUGACGCCGCGUAUAGGAAGAAGGUCUUUGGAUUGUAAACUAUUGUCGACAGGGAAGAAACGAAUGACAGUACCUGUGGAGGAAGCCCCGGCAAACUACGUGCCAGCAGCCGCGGUAAUACGUAGGGGGCGAGCGUUAUCCGGAUUUAUUGGGUGUAAAGGGUGCGUAGACGGUUAUGCAAGUUGGUUGUGAAAUCCCGAGGCUCAACUUCGGAACUGCAACCAAAACUGUGUAACUCGAGUGCGGGAGAGGAAAGCGGAAUUCCUAGUGUAGCGGUGAAAUGCGUAGAUAUUAGGAGGAACACCAGUGGCGAAGGCGGCUUUCUGGACCGUAACUGACGUUGAGGCACGAAAGUGUGGGGAGCAAACAGGAUUAGAUACCCUGGUAGUCCACACCGUAAACGAUGGAUACUAGGUGUAGGGAGGGUUAAACCUUUCUGUGCCGCCGUAAACACAAUAAGUAUCCCACCUGAGUAGUACGACCGCAAGGUUGAAACUCAAAGGAAUUGACGGGGGCCCGCACAAGCAGUGGA
RNAcentral lists this ribosomal RNA (835 nucleotides) under human gut metagenome. Its description in RNAcentral is "bacterial SSU rRNA". It matches the Rfam family "Bacterial small subunit ribosomal RNA", at positions 90 to 936 of the family's 1533-position model. The record is from RNAcentral.